CAGUACUAACGUCACGCGCUACUGCAACCACACUUAAACACUCCUUUAAUUUGUUUCAAACUCAAAUUCGUUGAACUGUAAUAAAUGCAAUAGCUGAUAUUGAUAAUUAUGUAAAUGUAAUGUAAUUAGGACCGAUGAUUAAUCCACGUGUCUCAGGGGUGGAGACGCGCGAGCCUACAGUCUCCUGAGAGCCGCAGGUCUUCAGACGCUCGCGAGGACCAAACACACUCGGAACGAUCAUCAUGACAGCAAACCCCUCCGUCCUGCUGCUGCUCACGACACUGCUGGACACACCGCUGUGUCGCGGUGAAGACGUGCUCGUGGUGGCGA
Sinocyclocheilus rhinocerous is the source of this 330-nucleotide long non-coding RNA. RefSeq lists it as uncharacterized. Lineage: Eukaryota; Metazoa; Chordata; Actinopteri; Cypriniformes; Cyprinidae. The transcript has 3 exons. The record is from RefSeq and is a predicted model, not a curated record.